GACGAACGCUGGCGGCGUGCUUAACACAUGCAAGUCGAACGGUAAGGCCCCUUCGGGGGUACACGAGUGGCGAACGGGUGAGUAACACGUGAGCAACCUGCCCUUGACUCUGGAAUAACAGUUGGAAACAGCUGCUAAUACUGGAUAUGCACUCAUCUCCUCCUGGGGGUGAGUGGAAAGCUCCGGCGGUCAGGGAUGGGCUCGCGGCCUAUCAGCUUGUUGGUGAGGUAAUGGCUCACCAAGGCUUCGACGGGUAGCCGGCCUGAGAGGGCGACCGGCCACACUGGGACUGAGAUACGGCCCAGACUCCUACGGGAGGCAGCAGUGGGGAAUAUUGCACAAUGGGCGCAAGCCUGAUGCAGCAACGCCGCGUGC
RNAcentral lists this ribosomal RNA (375 nucleotides) under uncultured bacterium. Its description in RNAcentral is "bacterial SSU rRNA". It matches the Rfam family "Bacterial small subunit ribosomal RNA", at positions 28 to 404 of the family's 1533-position model. The record is from RNAcentral.